RNAcentral lists this transfer RNA (75 nucleotides) under Myxococcales bacterium. RNAcentral describes it as "tRNA-Phe". It matches the Rfam family "tRNA". Rfam says of the family: Transfer RNA (tRNA) molecules are approximately 80 nucleotides in length. Their secondary structure includes four short double-helical elements and three loops (D, anti-codon, and T loops). Further hydrogen bonds mediate the characteristic L-shaped molecular structure. tRNAs have two regions of fundamental functional importance: the anti-codon, which is responsible for specific mRNA codon recognition, and the 3' end, to which the tRNAs corresponding amino acid is attached (by aminoacyl-tRNA synthetases). tRNAs cope with the degeneracy of the genetic code in two manners: having more than one tRNA (with a specific anti-codon) for a particular amino acid; and 'wobble' base-pairing, i.e. permitting non-standard base-pairing at the 3rd anti-codon position. Lineage: Bacteria; Pseudomonadati; Myxococcota; Myxococcia; Myxococcales. The record is from RNAcentral.
GCCCCGGAAGCUGACUUGGUACGCAAGCGCCGGUCUGAAGCACCGGAGGUGUUGGUUCGAUUCCAACCCGGGGUG